UCCUCCAAGGAGGCGAAGAAGAAGAAGAAGAAGAAGCUGCAAUAGACGAAGAAGAAAGAGCGGCGCUUGUUGUUUGCUGACAAACCUGCGUCAAUGUUGUCAUAAAUGUCUUCUUAAGUGUCUUCUCUACCGACAAGAUGGACAAACUGGGGGAUGUGGACUCUUACGAGAUCGAGGAGCCGAGCGACGAGGAGAGAGCAGCGACCAGUUCGGAGGACGAGCUGGACGUGCUGCUGAGCGGCACAGUGGAGCAGAAGAAGAAGCUGAUCAGAGAGUAUUUGACGGGGGAAAGUGAGUCCUCCAGCGGGGAUGACUUCCAGAAGGAGAUGGAAGCUGAGCUCACCACCACCAUUAAGACCAUGGAGGACACCUGGGGACCCACCUGCACUACAGCAGGCAGCGUGGUGAGGAGCAACCCUCCCAUGUACGACAACAUCUACUUCGACUCGGACUCGGACUCUGAGCCGGAAGACGAGCAGCCCAGUAGUAGUAGCUCUGGUGGGCGGCGGCGGGCGCAGCGGGUCGUCCUGACCAACGACGAGCUGCUGUACGACCCCGACGAGGACGAUCGGGACCAGGCCUGGGUGGACGCCAGACGCAGGCGCUACAACAGGAAGCGAGCGUCCACGGGGGCCAACGGGCGGCGCUCGCAGCCCGCCAGUCUCCCCAGCAGCGACGCCGUCCUCAACUGUCCCGCCUGCAUGACCACGCUGUGUCUGGACUGUCAGAGGCACGACAAGUACCGCACGCAGUACCGCGCCAUGUUUGUCAUGAACUGCACGGUGAGGAAGGACCAGGUGCUGCGCUACCAAAGCCCCCCGGGCAGGAAGCCCCGCCACGGGAAGCGGAGGAAGGCAGAGGACGAGACGCCGGCGCCCGCUCCAGCGGGGAUGGACACCGAGGAGGUCUACCGCCCCGUGUGCUGCUCCGAGUGUUCCACGGAGGUGGCCGUGAUGGACAAGGACGAGGUCUACCACUUCUUCAACAUCCUCUCCAGCCACUGCUGACGCCACCAUCAAGACCAACUCCACUUUUUAUCUAGUCCUGGACCACUGGCCCAACCUGCUCAAAGCUGAAAAGCCGCUUUUCAGCCGUCCCUUGUUCGUCUCCGUGCGUCCCUCUCACUUCAUGGUCUCCAGCGCUGCUAAUAAAGGGAACAGGUGAUUAGAUAACUUGUUCCAGCUGAGGUAUCCACUCACCUGUUGGCUGCUUCAUGGC
RNA transcript from Nerophis ophidion (straightnose pipefish), 1218 nucleotides. It is a transcript of the gene named e2f-associated phosphoprotein, with no coding region annotated. Lineage: Eukaryota; Metazoa; Chordata; Actinopteri; Syngnathiformes; Syngnathidae. The transcript is spliced from 7 exons. The record is from RefSeq and is a predicted model, not a curated record.